Non-coding RNA from Triticum urartu, 2137 nucleotides. The record is from RefSeq and is a predicted model, not a curated record. NCBI's taxonomy places the organism in Eukaryota, Viridiplantae, Streptophyta, Magnoliopsida, Poales, Poaceae.
UUCGUCCCACCACUUUCGUCUGAUUUUUUUCGUCGGUUAACCUUCGUAGAUUUUUUUUUUCCGUCCACCACCUCCCCUCCGCUGGUUUUAGCGUCACGACAGAACCAAUCCCUCGCUAGCCCUACCUCCUCUCCCGUCUCCAGUCGCAGCCGCCGCCGGCGCCGCACCCCAAUCCAACCCCGCCGCCGGCGAUCUCCUCGCCCCCCUGUGCCGUCGCCCCCAACCUUCUAUUCCUCUCCCAAGGGUAGGGAAGGGAAGGCAAGGCAAGGGAAGGGAGAGGGAGCGCUCAGAUCCACGGCGGCAUCAGCGCGCCGUCCUCGACCUGAUCCGCGUCAGUCCACGGAUGGGAGCUAAUCGGCGCAGGAAAUCCCCGUCCCCGCGUCCGAGCCCCGCCACCCUCCGCAACGGCUCGACCGCCCAUCGACGCGCUGCCCCCGCGGCGCCCGACCAGUUCGGCUCUCGCGGCUGGUGGACGCGCCCUUGCUGUUGCCGACGCCGGCUCGCUGCGCCGCACUGGCCCUCACAAGCGUCUUCUGUUGGUUACAACUCACGUUCCUCUCUAUUUUCUCUUUGAAUUUUCUUUUGAGCCGGUCAGGAAGCAAGAACAUGUCGAUUGACAUGCCAGUUGGAGAUGAUUUGAGGAAUUUUUACGUGUUUGGUAGAUGGACUUGAGAGGUCAAGGAGUUUCCAUUGGGACAUCGGACAUGCUCCUCCAUCUCCUCCGGUGGACGACAUCCAACAUCGCCAGUUCAUGCACUUAUGGACUGAAGAAAACAAAUGGAAAUGAAGAAGAAAAGAAUAGCAAUAUUAUCAUAUGCGAGGUUUGCUUUUAACCUUGGUUCCUAACCAAUAUUUGCUUCAUAAUUCUGCCGAGAGAUUCACACUGUCAUUCAUAUUAUGAAUAUAGUUCAUAACCAGUAUUCUCUUUUAUCUAAUUAUAUGUACAGAAAGGAGUAAUCUGAAGUGAAUUCAUGCUAUGUUAACAGUCUAACAAACAUCUUGGAGGUGUGAAUGCUUUGUUGGGUCUGACAAGUAAUCAAUAAUUGAUGGUAUACUGGGAUUUUUCUCAUACUUCUAGCACUUCCUCAUUGACAAUAAAGCAAGUAGUAUCACAACAAAGGCUAUCCAGGUAUUUUUUUUCAACUAUAAUCCUUCCAGCUUUAGGGACUGCUCAAUUGGAUCUGCACAAUCCAACAAAAUAAAUGUGCAUAGUGUCUGCGACACUUUCAUCCGAUCAUCACGAAGGUAGUUGUAGGAGUAAAAAAGUAUGUCAUACUGUUUUUUCAGUUCAAGCCAAAAGGCUAGGACAGGUAAUACUUGUUUUUACAGUACUUGUGCAAAAAGUAUGUCAUACUGUUUGCUCUAGAUGAUUUUGAUGAAUUUUACAACCUUAUUUUCAGUUGUUUACAGGUCUGCUUUCAUGGGGUUUAUUGAAUCCAGGAAAGAACUGUGAGUAGUAGCGAACCAGACAUGAAAAGUUUCAGAGAACUACGAAAACUCCGGGUUUGGGGGAGAUUGUCAGCGAGCCACUGAUGAAAGUCCUUUUGCGAUGACAAUGCUAGAGAAGAUUUGAAAGAUCUUGGUUGGCGUGGGGCAACUUGUGUAUUCCUGGAUGGGGGCGCCGUCCGGUGGUAGUGGGGUGUGGCAGUUGCCGCAGCUGGGCACAACCGGGAGUCCACCUAUCCAGAACACCCAACUAUUUCAUCCGGUGAACUGCGAAGAGCUUCUGUAAUUAGCACAAAUCUGAAAGCAUAUAUGCAGCUCCCAGAUGUUGCAGGCUAGAGGAAGGGCAGGCACUCAUGCGAUACCAUGUAUCUGGUAGUGGUUUCGUUCCCCAGACGCUAUGCAUUUAUUGUCUGGUUGGACGCGCCGGGUGUGGGGACACUGCAGGACAUGUUUGAUUAUCAUGUCAGUGAAUUCUGGCGAGAAUGAACCAAGUGAGCUUUUGUAGCUGAUCUAUUCAAAAUGGAUGAACGGACCAGUUAGUGUACAUAUAAAUUUGCACUCUGUCUUCCUGCUCAUUCGUGCAAUGUGUUCAUGGGAGACUUAUUUUAGGAAAACAUAAAAUAAUUUUUCUUUCUGUGCGUACUACUCCAACUUUCAAGUGCCAGGCUUCAAUAAAUCUGAAAUUUCUAUC